This 506-nucleotide ribosomal RNA is filed under the name uncultured bacterium. RNAcentral's name for it is "partial 16S ribosomal RNA". It matches the Rfam family "Bacterial small subunit ribosomal RNA", at positions 29 to 523 of the family's 1533-position model. The record is from RNAcentral.
AGUGAACGCUGGCGGUAGGCCUAACACAUGCAAGUCGAACGGCAGCACAGGAGAGCUUGCUCUCUGGGUGGCGAGUGGCGGACGGGUGAGGAAUACAUCGGAAUCUACUCUGUCGUGGGGGAUAACGUAGGGAAACUUACGCUAAUACCGCAUACGACCUACGGGUGAAAGCAGGGGACCUUCGGGCCUUGCGCGAUUGAAUGAGCCGAUGUCGGAUUAGCUAGUUGGCGGGGUAAAGGCCCACCAAGGCGACGAUCCGUAGCUGGUCUGAGAGGAUGAUCAGCCACACUGGAACUGGGACACGGUCCAGACUCCUACGGGAGGCAGCAGUGGGGAAUAUUGGACAAUGGGCGCAAGCCUGAUCCAGCCAUACCGCGUGGGUGGAGAAGGCCUUCGGGUUGUAAAGCCCUUUUGUUGGGAAAGAAAUCCAGCUGGCUAAUACCCGGUUGGGAUGACGGUACCCAAAGAAUAAGCACCGGCUAACUUCGUGCCAGCAGCCGCGGUAA